This 253-nucleotide ribosomal RNA is filed under the name uncultured bacterium. RNAcentral's name for it is "partial 16S ribosomal RNA". It matches the Rfam family "Bacterial small subunit ribosomal RNA", at positions 524 to 776 of the family's 1533-position model. The record is from RNAcentral.
UACGUAGGGUGCAAGCGUUGUCCGGAAUUAUUGGGCGUAAAGAGCUCGUAGGCGGUCUGUCGCGUCUGCUGUGAAAACUCGGGGCUUAACCCCGGGCCUGCAGUGGGUACGGGCAGACUAGAGUGCGGUAGGGGAGACUGGAAUUCCUGGUGUAGCGGUGAAAUGCGCAGAUAUCAGGAGGAACACCGGUGGCGAAGGCGGCUCUCUGGACCGAUACUGACGCUGAGGCGCGAAAGCGUGGGGAGCAAACAGG